AAAAAAAAAAUCCCUGUCCACAUGAAGCUUAUCCUCAAAGGGGAGGAAGGGGAGGGAGGAGAAAGACGCUAAACAGGACCAAUAGAUAAAAUAGAUCCUACCGUCUGGCGAGAAGUAAUAGAUGCUCUGGAAAAACAGGCACGGUGUGUGGGGGUGGGGUUGCAAUUCUAAAGAGGGUAAUUCAAGGGUAGAAUCUGACAGCUGACAUUUGGGUGAUGCCUGAGGGAGGUGAGGGAGCCAUGAGAUAUCUGGGGGAACAGCACGCCAGGCAGAGGGCACAGCAAAUGCAAAAGCCUGAGGUGGAGCCAGUCUGCACUGUUCCGAGAAGAGCAGGAGGCUGACGUUGCCAGAACAACGGUGUGAGUGAGGAGAGAGCAGGAGGCGAGGGCCCAGAGCAACGGGGUGCGAUCACGUAGAGCCUCACAGGACAUUUUAAACUUCGGUUGGAAUCGGAGUGAAGCUUCAGCCGGCUGCCUGGCACACCAUUCCUCCCAGGCCCCCCACAGCCCUGCAGCUUGCUGGGCAGCGGGCACGGCAAUGCUGAGGCAGCUGAGGGGACGGGCGGCUCCGGUCCACCCCUAACUUGGAGACGGCCUAAUCAGAAGCCGCGAGAACAAUAAUAGCGGUUACCACUUACUGACCCCUCACAGCACAUCAGGCUCCGCUCUGCGUGCUUUGCAAACAUCCUCUCACAGCGGCCUCCUCUCAGCCCUUUGAGAGAAGGGCUGUCUUGAGGAAACUGAGGCUGAGAGGUCUGGCUGCAGGAUGGCCCGUAGACCUCGGCCCUGCUCAGGCCCUCCUGCCUCUCCCACGGAGCUAAGGAGUCAUCACUGCUAGAACCCCUGCCCCACUCCCUGCCCUCUAGACCAUUCCCCGCCCAAAUGGUCCCAGGCCCUCCCAGGUCUGUCCUGAUGGCGGCCAGCAUGGCCCAGGUAUGUACUUCUAGGCCCCAAGGGUGGUCAACGGAAGGCUGUUUGUGAAGACUGGGGAUGGAGCUUGGACUCGCGGGCUGGGGUGUCCACACAUAGACACAUACCUACACAGGGACCCUCAUGGUGUAGGAUGGAGCCUGGGUGGGUAGAGUAGUGGACUGACCUCUGUUCCUGGCUGGGGACUAACUCUGUCUGUACAGCCACAUUCGGGCCCAGUACUCUAGGUGUCCCAGAAUCCAGAUUAAAACCUGGCCUUCCUGAUCACCGUGAAGACAGGAUUGUUCAGGUAGCAAGACAGAGUCUCGUUUAUUUAACCGUUUACUUGACUCUUACGGUACUUGGGUCCUAAACGCAUUUUUGCCCGGAGCCCUGAUACAUUAGGGCUGGAUUUUUGACCAGUUUUCUGCAUCCUUAGCACCUAAAACUGUACCCGGUACAGAACACAUGCUCAGCAAAUUGUUAAAUAAAUGAAUUAAAAAAACCCUGGGGCGAUGCCCCAUAUGCUCAACGGGCCCCCAGAAGUGGUUGGAAACGUGUGGCUCUCCUGUGUCAGGGCCUCAGAGUCUCAGCGUUGGGUGGGGCCCAACUCUGCCGUGGGAGGGGUGGGGGGACUGAAGACCCUCUUCCACCACCUGCCUGCCUGCCCCCCCUCCCCCUUCAUAAGUGGAGUUUUUCAUUCUUGACAGCAGAAAGAGCCCAUAUUUGGGAAUCAAGGAGACCGGGACCCCAAAACUGUCAAUUCCUGGCUAUGUGUGGUCAUUAAUCUCUCUGACCCUCAAUUUCCUUUAAAAAAGAGAACCAUAAAACCUCCCUCCCCAUGGUUGUAGGUGGGAGAAUUCGUGUAACUGACUCCAUGCAUGUGAAGCGCAUGGCCAGUCAUUGCCCAGUAAGUAUUGACCACUGCUGCCACCACUGCCACUCUCACCAUCACUGUCAUCGCCAAAGUGCCUGAGGCAGUUCCUGGCCCACAGCAGACUCCCAGACAAGGUACAAGAUGAGAAAGUUGAGGCACAGAAAGGUCAAGUGAUUUGUCUAAGGCGUCACGCCUGGAAGUGCUGGGAUUUGAACCUGUGCCCUGGAACCAUGCCUCCUCGGUGGAUUUUAGUGGGAGGCAGGCUCUGCCUUUAGUCAAAAGGCAGCUGGCCCCAUGGAGUUCCCCAGGUCUGAGGCUUCCAGACGCCCUCCGCUUCAUCCUUCAGAGCCUCAAACCUGCAUGUGCAUCAGCAUCACCUGGAAGCUCGUUAAAACAGACUGCAGGGCCCUGCCUGCAGGGUCUGAUCCGGCAGGUGAUGCUGAUGCUGAUGCUGCCGGUCCAGGGACUGGACUCUGAGUACCAGCUGUAAAGGAUGACUCACUCUCGCAGGAUGGAAACACUGAGUUCAACGUCAGCAAUCCUUUCAGCUUCGAGUUAGAUUCUUCACGUCUAUUGCGAAGAAAAAUUUUAAACUUCGCUUUAACAAAGGCACACAUGGAAUUGCCCUAUGCUUGCUGCCUCUUCAUCCUUCUUCCUGCAUCUGUGCCCUGGUAUUGUGAGGAAUGUUCCAAUUUCAGUGACAUCCCGGUUAGGGUUUUAUGGAAGAGGAAACAGAAGCCCAGAAGUUACUCAAAUGUGCCAGAGGUCACACAGCUGAUUGGCGGUGGAGUCAGGAUUUGAACACAGAGCCAAGACUCCAAGCCCACGCUCUUUCUCCUGUGCUGCUGGUGCUUGGACAAAGGGCUGCCCUAGGCUGGCCCCUCAUGCCUCACCUCGAUGAUGAAGUUGCCGAUUUCAUCAGGGUUGGCUGGACGUGGACGGUACAUGGGUGUGGGGAUGAAGAAACUUCUUCAGGGACAAGGCCACUGUGUCUCCUGGAAUGGGCAGAUAAUUUAUUCACCUUGGGAGACCGCAAACGGUGGGAACCAGCUAUGCCGUGACCGAGGUUUGAGGAGACAGCCUCUGCAUCCAGGCAACGGGGAAACGUCCAACGGCACACUUACACCAAGCGUAAAAGCGGAUUUUAGCCAAAGCCAAACUCACCAUCAUGGAAAGGAUUAUUGUGAUAGAAGAAUAAAUUCAUCAUUUUAUUUUUUAAAAAAAAUCAAUAAAUCACAGUAUUCUUAAAAUAUGGGGUUUUAAAAAAAGUCAUGUCAUGGGGGGCCAAUAAUUUCUCAGUACCAUUAGCUGCUAGACUGUGCUUUGCCUCAAAAAGAAUACACUGUUCAUUCUAAGAGAUAGCUAGCCCAAUCUUUUAAUAGUCACAUUAACUGGCCACCUGUUUUCCUAUUUGAAAGUUCACUACCACUUAUUAUUGUAGCAUUUUGCUCUUGCAAUAGUAAAUAUAAUGUUUAUACCUCAA
Non-coding RNA from Equus caballus (horse), 3268 nucleotides. The record is from RefSeq and is a predicted model, not a curated record. NCBI's taxonomy places the organism in Eukaryota, Metazoa, Chordata, Mammalia, Perissodactyla, Equidae.